This 491-nucleotide ribosomal RNA is filed under the name uncultured bacterium. RNAcentral's name for it is "partial 16S ribosomal RNA". It matches the Rfam family "Bacterial small subunit ribosomal RNA", at positions 29 to 507 of the family's 1533-position model. The record is from RNAcentral.
AGUGAACGCUGGCGGUAGGCCUAACACAUGCAAGUCGAACGGCAGCACAGUAAGAGCUUGCUUUUACGGGUGGCGAGUGCGGACGAGUGAGGAAUACAUCGGAAUCUACUUUUUCGUGGGGGAUAACGUAGGGAAACUUACGCUAAUACCGCAUACGACCUACGGGUGAAAGCAGGGGAUCUUCGGACCUUGCGCGAUUGAAUGAGCCGAUGUCGGAUUAGCUAGUUGGCGGGGUAAAGGCCCACCAAGGCGACGAUCCGUAGCUGGUCUGAGAGGAUGAUCAGCCACACUGGAACUGAGACACGGUCCAGACUCCUACGGGAGGCAGCAGUGGGGAAUAUUGGACAAUGGGCGCAAGCCUGAUCCAGCCAUACCGCGUGGGUGAAGAAGGCCUUCGGGUUGUAAAGCCCUUUUGUUGGGAAAGAAAAGCAGCAGGUUAAUACCCCGCUGUUCUGACGGUACCCAAAGAAUAAGCACCGGCUAACUUCGUG